RNAcentral lists this ribosomal RNA (735 nucleotides) under uncultured bacterium. Its description in RNAcentral is "bacterial SSU rRNA". It matches the Rfam family "Bacterial small subunit ribosomal RNA", at positions 55 to 779 of the family's 1533-position model. The record is from RNAcentral.
AUGCAAGUCGAACGGCAGCACAGAGGAGCUUGCUCCUUGGGUGGCGAGUGGCGGACGGGUGAGGAAUACAUGGGAAUCUACUCUGUCGUGGGGGAUAACGUAGGGAAACUGACGCUAAUACCGCAUACGACCUACGGAUGAAAGCAGGGGAUCUUCGGACCUUGCGCGAUUGAAUGAGCCGAUGUGGGAUUAGCUAGUUGGCGGGGUAAAGGCCCACCAAGGCGACGAUCCGUAGCUGGUCUGAGAGGAUGAUCAGCCACACUGGAACUGAGACACGGUCCAGACUCCUACGGGAGGCAGCAGUGGGGAAUAUUGGACAAUGGGCGCAAGCCUGAUCCAGCCAUACCGCGUGGGUGAAGAAGGCCUUCGGGUUGUAAAGCCCUUUUGUUGGGAAAGAAAUCCAGCCGGCUAAUACCUGCAUGGGAUGACGGUACCCAAAGAAUAAGCACCGGCUAACUUCGUGCCAGCAGCCGCGGUAAUACGAAGGGUGCAAGCGUUACUCGGAAUUACUGGGCGUAAAGCGCGCGUAGGUGGUCGUUUAAGUCCGUUGUGAAAGCCCUGCGCUCAACCUGUGAACUGCAGUGGAUACUGCGCGACUAGAGUGUGGUAGAGGGUAGCGGAAUUCCUGCUGUAGCAGUGAAAUGCGUAGAGAUCAGGAUGAACAUCCAUGGCGAAGGCAGCUACCUGGACCAACACUGACACUGAGGCACGAAAGCGUGGGGAGCAAACAGGAUU